RNAcentral lists this ribosomal RNA (478 nucleotides) under uncultured bacterium. RNAcentral describes it as "partial 16S ribosomal RNA". It matches the Rfam family "Bacterial small subunit ribosomal RNA", at positions 30 to 507 of the family's 1533-position model. The record is from RNAcentral.
UGAACGCUGGCGGCGUGCUUAACACAUGCAAGUCGAACGGAACUACUCCAAUGAGAGUCUUCGGAAAGGAUUUGGUUUAGUUUAGUGGCGGACGGGUGAGUAACGCGUGGGUAACCUGCCCUAUACAGGGGGAUAACAGUUGGAAACGACUGUUAAUACCGCAUAAGCGCACAGGAGCGCAUGCUCCGGUGUGAAAAACUCCGGUGGUAUAGGAUGGACCCGCGUCUGAUUAGCUGGUUGGCGGGGUAACGGCCCACCAAGGCGACGAUCAGUAGCCGGCCUGAGAGGGUGAACGGCCACAUUGGGACUGAGACACGGCCCAAACUCCUACGGGAGGCAGCAGUGGGGAAUAUUGCACAAUGGGGGAAACCCUGAUGCAGCGACGCCGCGUGAGCGAAGAAGUAUCUCGGUAUGUAAAGCUCUAUCAGCAGGGAAGAAAAUGACGGUACCUGACUAAGAAGCCCCGGCUAACUACGUG